UACAGAGGGCGCGAGCGUUGUCCGGAAUCACUGGGCGUAAAGGGCGCGUAGGCGGUCUGCUAAGUUGGAUGUGAAAACUCUGGGCUUAACCCAGAGCCUGCAUUCAAUACUGACAGGCUAGAGUUCUGGAGGGGAUAGCGGAAUUCCUGGUGUAGCGGUGAAAUGCGUAGAUAUCAGGAGGAACACCGGUGGCGAAGGCGGCUAUCUGGACAGAGUCUGACGCUGAGGCGCGAAAGCUAGGGGAGCAAACAGG
RNAcentral lists this ribosomal RNA (253 nucleotides) under uncultured bacterium. Its description in RNAcentral is "partial 16S ribosomal RNA". It matches the Rfam family "Bacterial small subunit ribosomal RNA", at positions 524 to 776 of the family's 1533-position model. The record is from RNAcentral.